Molecule: ribosomal RNA, 480 nt
Filed under: Shewanella putrefaciens
Lineage: Bacteria; Pseudomonadati; Pseudomonadota; Gammaproteobacteria; Alteromonadales; Shewanellaceae
Description: bacterial SSU rRNA
Rfam family: Bacterial small subunit ribosomal RNA
Source: RNAcentral
GAAGGACCGGCUAACUCCGUGCCAGCAGCCGCGGUAAUACGGAGGGUCCGAGCGUUAAUCGGAAUUACUGGGCGUAAAGCGUGCGCAGGCGGUUUGUUAAGCGAGAUGUGAAAGCCCUGGGCUCAACCUAGGAAUAGCAUUUCGAACUGGCGAACUAGAGUCUUGUAGAGGGGGGUAGAAUUCCAGGUGUAGCGGUGAAAUGCGUAGAGAUCUGGAGGAAUACCGGUGGCGAAGGCGGCCCCCUGGACAAAGACUGACGCUCAUGCACGAAAGCGUGGGGAGCAAACAGGAUUAGAUACCCUGGUAGUCCACGCCGUAAACGAUGUCUACUCGGAGUUUGGUGUCUUGAACACUGGGCUCUCAAGCUAACGCAUUAAGUAGACCGCCUGGGGAGUACGGCCGCAAGGUUAAAACUCAAAUGAAUUGACGGGGGCCCGCACAAGCGGUGGAGCAUGUGGUUUAAUUCGAUGCAACGCGAAG